GCCCGGAUAGCUCAGUCGGUGGGGCAGGUUUGAGAGAAUCCCCACGUGUCCUUCAGUUCGAUUCCGAGUCCGGGCACCA
This 79-nucleotide transfer RNA is filed under the name Escherichia coli. RNAcentral describes it as "tRNA-OTHER". The record is from RNAcentral. Lineage: Bacteria; Pseudomonadati; Pseudomonadota; Gammaproteobacteria; Enterobacterales; Enterobacteriaceae.